RNAcentral lists this ribosomal RNA (492 nucleotides) under uncultured bacterium. RNAcentral describes it as "partial 16S ribosomal RNA". It matches the Rfam family "Bacterial small subunit ribosomal RNA", at positions 29 to 507 of the family's 1533-position model. The record is from RNAcentral.
AGUGAACGCUGGCGGUAGGCCUAACACAUGCAAGUCGAACGGCAGCACAGUAAGAGCUUGCUCUUACGGGUGGCGAGUGGCGGACGGGUGAGGAAUACAUCGGAAUCUACUUUUUCGUGGGGGAUAACGUAGGGAAACUUACGCUAAUACCGCAUACGACCUACGGGUGAAAGCAGGGGAUCUUCGGACCUUGCGCGAUUGAAUGAGCCGAUGUCGGAUUAGCUAGUUGGCGGGGUAAAGGCCCACCAAGGCGACGAUCCGUAGCUGGUCUGAGAGGAUGAUCAGCCACACUGGAACUGAGACCCGGCCCAGACUCCUACGGGCGGCAGCAGUGGGGAAUAUUGGACAAUGGGCGCAAGCCUGAUCCAGCCAUACCGCGUGGGUGAAGAAGGCCUCCGGGUUGUAAAGCCCUUUUGUUGGGAAAGAAAAGCAGCAGGUUAAUACCCCGCUGUUCUGACGGUACCCAAAGAAUAAGCACCGGCUAACUUCGUG